UAAUACGUAGGGUGCGAGCGUUGUCCGGAAUUAUUGGGCGUAAAGAGCUCGUAGGCGGUUUGUUGCGUCGGCCGUGAAAACCUGCAGCUUAACUGUGGGCCUGCGGUCGAUACGGGCAGACUUGAGUUCGGUAGGGGAGACUGGAAUUCCUGGUGUAGCGGUGAAAUGCGCAGAUAUCAGGAGGAACACCGGUGGCGAAGGCGGGUCUCUGGGCCGAUACUGACGCUGAGGAGCGAAAGCGUGGGGAGCGAACAGGAUUAGAUACCCUGGUAGUCCACGCUGUAAACGUUGGGCGCUAGGUGUGGGGAGCAUUCCACGUUCUCCGUGCCGUAGCUAACGCAUUAAGCGCCCCGCCUGGGGAGUACGGCCGCAAGGCUA
This 378-nucleotide ribosomal RNA is filed under the name uncultured bacterium. RNAcentral describes it as "bacterial SSU rRNA". It matches the Rfam family "Bacterial small subunit ribosomal RNA", at positions 521 to 896 of the family's 1533-position model. The record is from RNAcentral.